AUACGGGAGGCAGCAGUGGGGAAUUUUGCGCAAUGGGCUAACGCCUGACGCAGCAACGCCGCGUGGAGGAUGAAGGUCUUUGGAUUGUAAACUCCUGUCAGCAGGGAAAAAGCAACCUGACCUCAUACGUCAGGGAGUUGAUUGUACCUGCAGAGGAAGCCCCGGCUAACUCUGUGCCAGCAGCCGCGGUAAUACAGAGGGGGCAAGCGUUAUUCGGAAUUAUUGGGCGUAAAGGGCGCGUAGGCGGCCUGGCAAGUGGAAGGUGAAAUCCCUCGGCUUAACCGAGGAACUGCCUUCCAGACUGCUUGGCUUGAGACCGGGAGAGGUGAGUGGAAUUCCCAGUGUAGCGGUGAAAUGCGUAGAUAUUGGGAGGAACACCAGUGGCGAAGGCGGCUCACUGGACCGGUACUGACGCUGAGGCGCGAAAGCGUGGGGAGCAAACGGGAUUAGAUACCCCGGUAGG
This 463-nucleotide ribosomal RNA is filed under the name uncultured bacterium. Its description in RNAcentral is "bacterial SSU rRNA". It matches the Rfam family "Bacterial small subunit ribosomal RNA", at positions 339 to 794 of the family's 1533-position model. The record is from RNAcentral.